This 67-nucleotide transfer RNA is filed under the name Parachauliodes japonicus. RNAcentral's name for it is "tRNA-Asp". The record is from RNAcentral. Lineage: Eukaryota; Metazoa; Arthropoda; Insecta; Megaloptera; Corydalidae. RNAcentral also lists the same sequence under 1 other name.
AAAGAAUUAGUUAAAUUAACAUUAGUAUGUCAAACUAAAAUUAUUGGUAUAACCCUAAUAUUCUUUA